UACGUAGGGUGCGAGCGUUGUCCGGAAUUAUUGGGCGUAAAGGGCUCGUAGGCGGUUUGUCGCGUCGGGAGUGAAAACCCAGGUGCUUAACACCUGGCUUGCUUUCGAUACGGGCAGACUAGAGGUAUGCAGGGGAGAACGGAAUUCCUGGUGUAGCGGUGAAAUGCGCAGAUAUCAGGAGGAACACCGGUGGCGAAGGCGGUUCUCUGGGCAUGACCUGACGCUGAGGAGCGAAAGUGUGGGGGGAGCGAACAGG
This 256-nucleotide ribosomal RNA is filed under the name uncultured bacterium. RNAcentral describes it as "partial 16S ribosomal RNA". It matches the Rfam family "Bacterial small subunit ribosomal RNA", at positions 524 to 776 of the family's 1533-position model. The record is from RNAcentral.